GCGAAGCCCUGGCAAGCAGCGGCGGUAAUGCGGAGGGUUCAGUCUUUAAGCGGAGUUACUGGGCGGAAAGCGGUGGCAAUCGGCUUAUUAAGUCAGAUGUGAAAUCCCGAGGCGCAACCUAGGAACUGCAGUUGAAACUAAUAAACUAGAGUAUCGUAGAGGGAGGUAGAAGUCCAGGUGUAGCGGUGAAAUGCGUAGAUAUCUGGAGGAAUACCAGUGGCGAAGGCGACCUCCUGGACGAAAACUUACGCUCAAGCACGAAAGCAUGGGGAGCAAACAGGAUUAGAUACCCGAGUAGUC
RNAcentral lists this ribosomal RNA (300 nucleotides) under uncultured Desulfovibrio sp. RNAcentral describes it as "bacterial SSU rRNA". It matches the Rfam family "Bacterial small subunit ribosomal RNA", at positions 496 to 795 of the family's 1533-position model. Lineage: Bacteria; Pseudomonadati; Thermodesulfobacteriota; Desulfovibrionia; Desulfovibrionales; Desulfovibrionaceae. The record is from RNAcentral.